UACGUAGGUGACAAGCGUUGUCCGGAUUUACUGGGCGUAAAGAGCGCGCAGGCGGUCGUUCAAGUCGAGUGUGAAAGCCCCCGGCUCAACUGGGGAGGGUCAUUCGAUACUGAUCGACUCGAAGGCAGGAGAGGGAAGUGGAAUUCCCGGUGUAGUGGUGAAAUGCGUAGAUAUCGGGAGGAACACCAGUGGCGAAGGCGACUCGCUGGGACGUAACUGACGCUGAGACGCGAAAGCGUGGGGAGCAAACAGG
Molecule: ribosomal RNA, 253 nt
Filed under: uncultured bacterium
Lineage: Bacteria
Description: partial 16S ribosomal RNA
Rfam family: Bacterial small subunit ribosomal RNA
Source: RNAcentral